This 758-nucleotide ribosomal RNA is filed under the name Enterococcus sp. R.M12. RNAcentral describes it as "bacterial SSU rRNA". It matches the Rfam family "Bacterial small subunit ribosomal RNA", at positions 46 to 780 of the family's 1533-position model. The record is from RNAcentral. Lineage: Bacteria; Bacillati; Bacillota; Bacilli; Lactobacillales; Enterococcaceae.
GCUAUAAUGCAGUCGACGCUUCUUUCCUCCCGAGUGCUUGCACUCAAUUGGAAAGAGGAGUGGCGGACGGGUGAGUAACACGUGGGUAACCUACCCAUCAGAGGGGGAUAACACUUGGAAACAGGUGCUAAUACCGCAUAACAGUUUAUGCCGCAUGGCAUAAGAGUGAAAGGCGCUUUCGGGUGUCGCUGAUGGAUGGACCCGCGGUGCAUUAGCUAGUUGGUGAGGUAACGGCUCACCAAGGCCACGAUGCAUAGCCGACCUGAGAGGGUGAUCGGCCACACUGGGACUGAGACACGGCCCAGACUCCUACGGGAGGCAGCAGUAGGGAAUCUUCGGCAAUGGACGAAAGUCUGACCGAGCAACGCCGCGUGAGUGAAGAAGGUUUUCGGAUCGUAAAACUCUGUUGUUAGAGAAGAACAAGGACGUUAGUAACUGAACGUCCCCUGACGGUAUCUAACCAGAAAGCCACGGCUAACUACGUGCCAGCAGCCGCGGUAAUACGUAGGUGGCAAGCGUUGUCCGGAUUUAUUGGGCGUAAAGCGAGCGCAGGCGGUUUCUUAAGUCUGAUGUGAAAGCCCCCGGCUCAACCGGGGAGGGUCAUUGGAAACUGGGAGACUUGAGUGCAGAAGAGGAGAGUGGAAUUCCAUGUGUAGCGGUGAAAUGCGUAGAUAUAUGGAGGAACACCAGUGGCGAAGGCGGCUCUCUGGUCUGUAACUGACGCUGAGGCUCGAAAGCGUGGGGAGCAAACAGGAUUA